Caenorhabditis elegans is the source of this 128-nucleotide non-coding RNA. NCBI's taxonomy places the organism in Eukaryota, Metazoa, Nematoda, Chromadorea, Rhabditida, Rhabditidae. The record is from Ensembl.
UCUUUGUUUCCGUUUUUCUCAUUAAUUCUCCGCCUUGAAUUGCCUUAAAAAACACAAGAAGAAGGAAAAAAGUUUGAAAGAAGUGGAGAGCGAGGAGAUGAAAGGAAAAACGGCGGCAAGCAAGAGGG